This 253-nucleotide ribosomal RNA is filed under the name uncultured marine bacterium. RNAcentral's name for it is "partial 16S ribosomal RNA". It matches the Rfam family "Bacterial small subunit ribosomal RNA", at positions 524 to 776 of the family's 1533-position model. RNAcentral also lists the same sequence under 2 other names. The record is from RNAcentral.
UACGAAGGGGGCUAGCGUUGCUCGGAAUUACUGGGCGUAAAGGGAGCGUAGGCGGACAUUUAAGUCAGGGGUGAAAUCCCAGAGCUCAACUCUGGAACUGCCUUUGAUACUGGGUGUCUUGAGUGUGAGAGAGGUAUGUGGAACUCCGAGUGUAGAGGUGAAAUUCGUAGAUAUUCGGAAGAACACCAGUGGCGAAGGCGACAUACUGGCUCAUUACUGACGCUGAGGCUCGAAAGCGUGGGGAGCAAACAGG